This 254-nucleotide ribosomal RNA is filed under the name uncultured bacterium. RNAcentral describes it as "partial 16S ribosomal RNA". It matches the Rfam family "Bacterial small subunit ribosomal RNA", at positions 524 to 776 of the family's 1533-position model. The record is from RNAcentral.
UACGUAGGGGGCGAGCGUUGUCCGGAUUCAUUGGGCGUAAAGCGCUUUAAGGCGGUUCGCUAAGUCGCGUGUGAAACCUCCAGGCUCAACCUGGAGACGCCACGCGAUACUGGCGUGACUAGAGUUCGGUAGGGGAUCACGGAAUUCCUGGUGUAGCGGUGAAAUGCGCAGAUAUCAGGAGGAACACCAGUGGCGAAGGCGGUGAUCUGGGCCGACACUGACGCUGUAGAGCGAAAGCGUGGGGAGCGAACAGG